Molecule: ribosomal RNA, 305 nt
Filed under: uncultured bacterium
Lineage: Bacteria
Description: bacterial SSU rRNA
Rfam family: Bacterial small subunit ribosomal RNA
Source: RNAcentral
AUUGAACGCUGGCGGCACGCUUAACACAUGCAAGUCGAACGGUAGCAGAUCUCGCUUGCGAGAUGCUGACGAGUGGCGGACGGGUGAGUAACACGUAGGAAUCUACCUUAGAGAUGGGGAUAACCAUAGGAAACUGUGGCUAAUACCGAGUAAGCCCUUCGGGGUGAAGGUCGCCUUUUAGGCAGUCGCUCUAAGCUGAGCCUGCGUUGGAUUAGCUAGUUGGUUGGGUAAAGGCUGACCAAGGCGACGAUCCAUAGCUGUUCUGAGAGGAAGAUCAGCCACACUGGGACUGAGACACGGCCCAG